CAUGGCUCCUCUUCAGCUUUUGUAGAUAGAUUCCAAUCUCUGGAAAUUAACAACUUAGAGUCACAGAUUAUUUAUGAAAUACCUGUGAGCCAUUACUUGAACUAGAUGUUUCUGCAUAGACUGUUUUUCACUUAACCCUGAGAACAACUUUGUGAAGUCAUGAGGAGGACUUCCGGAAAUGGCUAAAGCAGCAUGAACAAUGGGCCCUAAGUUCUCCACGUGACCGCUCCACUUUCAACUUCUCACCUGCUGUUUGAGAACUUCCAUUUCUGUUCUCAUCUCCUCAUGGCUGC
Molecule: long non-coding RNA, 293 nt
Organism: Orcinus orca (killer whale)
Lineage: Eukaryota; Metazoa; Chordata; Mammalia; Artiodactyla; Delphinidae
Exons: 3
Source: RefSeq, a predicted model, not a curated record